UGGUGCCAGCAGCCGCGGUAAUUCCAGCUCCAAUAGCGUAUAUUAAAGUUGUUGCAGUUAAAAAGCUCGUAGUUGAAUUUCGGGGUUAGUAAGUUGGUCAUGCCUCUGGUAUGCACUGGCUUUACUGAUUCCUCCUUCUUGAUGAACUGUAAUGUCAUUAAUUUGGUGUUGCAGGGAAUCAGGACUGUUACUUUGAAAAAAUUAGAGUGUUUAAAGCAGGCAUAAGCUUGAAUACAUUAGCAUGGAAUAAUGAAAUAGGACGUUUGAUCCUAUUUUGUUGGUUUCUAGGAUUGACGUAAUGAUUAAUAGGGAUAGUUGGGGGCAUUAGUAUUCAAUUGUCAGAGGUGAAAUUCUUGGAUUUAUUGAAGACUAACUACUGCGAAAGCAUUUGCCAAGGAUGUUUUCAUUAAUCAAGAACGAAAGUUAGGGGAUCGAAGACGAUCAGAUACCGUCGUAGUUUUAACCAUAAACUAUGCCGACUAGGGA
This 486-nucleotide ribosomal RNA is filed under the name uncultured Glomeromycotina. RNAcentral describes it as "SSU rRNA". It matches the Rfam family "Eukaryotic small subunit ribosomal RNA", at positions 562 to 1052 of the family's 1831-position model. Lineage: Eukaryota; Fungi; Glomeromycota. The record is from RNAcentral.